RNAcentral lists this ribosomal RNA (492 nucleotides) under uncultured bacterium. Its description in RNAcentral is "partial 16S ribosomal RNA". It matches the Rfam family "Bacterial small subunit ribosomal RNA", at positions 29 to 507 of the family's 1533-position model. The record is from RNAcentral.
AGUGAACGCUGGCGGUAGGCCUAACACAUGCAAGUCGAACGGCAGCACAGUAAGAGCUUGCUCUUACGGGUGGCGAGUGGCGGACGGGUGAGGAAUACAUCGGAAUCUACUUUUUCGUGGGUGAUAACGUAGGGACACUUACGCUAAUAGCGCAUACGACCUACGGGUGAAAGCAGGGGAUCUUCGGACCUUGCGCGAUUGUAUGAGCCGAUGUCGGAUUAGCUAGUUGGCGGGGUAAAGGCCCACCAAGGCGACGAUCCGUAGCUGGUCUGAGAGGAUGAUCAGCCACACUGGAACUGAGACACGGUCCAGACUCCUACGGGAGGCGGCAGUGGGGAAUAUUGGACAAUGGGCGAAAGCCUGAUCCAGCCAUACCGCGUGGGUGAAGAAGGCCUUCGGGUUGUAAAGCACUUUUGUUGGGAAAGAAAAGCAGCAGGUUAAUACCUCGCUGUUCUGACGGUACCCAAAGAAUAAGCACCGGCUAACUUCGUG